UACGUAGGGACCGAGCGUUGUCCGGAAUCAUUGGGCGUAAAGAGCGUGUAGGCGGCCAAUUAAGUCCUGCGUGAAAUCUCGGGGCUCAACCCCGAGCGGUCGUGGGAAACUGGUUGGCUAGAGUGCGGGAGAGGAGAGUGGAAUUCCAGGUGUAGCGGUGAAAUGCGUAGAUAUCAGGAGGAACACUGGUGGCGAAGGCGGGUCUCUGGGCCGAUACUGACGCUGAGGAGCGAAAGCGUGGGGAGCGAACAGG
RNAcentral lists this ribosomal RNA (253 nucleotides) under uncultured bacterium. RNAcentral's name for it is "partial 16S ribosomal RNA". It matches the Rfam family "Bacterial small subunit ribosomal RNA", at positions 524 to 776 of the family's 1533-position model. The record is from RNAcentral.